UGGGGAAUAUUGGACAAUGGGCGAAAGCCUGACGCAGCCAUGCCGCGUGAAUGAUGAAGGUCUUAGGAUUGUAAAAUUCUUUCACCGGGGACGAUAAUGACGGUACCCGGAGAAGAAGCCCCGGCUAACUUCGUGCCAGCAGCCGCGGUAAUACGAAGGGGGCUAGCGUUGCUCGGAAUUACUGGGCGUAAAGGGCGCGUAGGCGGAUCGUUAAGUCAGAGGUGAAAUCCCAGGGCUCAACCCUGGAACUGCCUUUGAUACUGGCGAUCUUGAGUAUGAGAGAGGUAUGUGGAACUCCGAGUGUAGAGGUGAAAUUCGUAGAUAUUCGGAAGAACACCAGUGGCGAAGGCGACAUACUGGCUCAUUACUGACGCUGAGGCGCGAAAGCGUGGGGAGCAAACA
RNAcentral lists this ribosomal RNA (402 nucleotides) under uncultured bacterium. Its description in RNAcentral is "partial 16S ribosomal RNA". It matches the Rfam family "Bacterial small subunit ribosomal RNA", at positions 355 to 774 of the family's 1533-position model. The record is from RNAcentral.